AAUGACCCAAAAGAACUAAGAUUCGACAUGAAUGUGAAGAAUUGGGUUACAUAGGGGAAGUGUUUCCAGUAGCGGAUAAGACAUACAUGUGGAAUAGAGGAAAGAAAGUAAUUUAAUAGUCAGAUGGUCUCUGCUGCGAAUCCAGAUCUGCUCAGUGAGAGUGUAUCAUAGGGUCUAGCCAGGAAAACAGAAACCACUCUACGUCUUUCAAACCGAUGCAUUUAAUCAAGGGAAAUUAUUAUCCAAAAUGAUGAAAAACCUGAGAAGCCAUUAGGAGAUGGAAGGCAACAGGAGAAAACUGUAACCACAACUAGAGGUGAUGAAACAACAGGAGGAAAUGGGUAACCAGAGCCCAGCAUCUGGAGCUGUCCAGGAGAAGCUGGAGUCAGUGAAGACUGCCUAGUGGGAAAGACGAUCAUUGAAGGAGGAGCUUUCUUAAGGUUUCAUUCCUGCUCCCAGCAAGCAGUUUCUCAAAUGUGUGCUGCUGGUUCCUACUUGAAGACUGAUGAGAAAUGAUGACAGCCCCAUAUCAACUCGCCAUGAUAAUCCUAACAUUUCUCUGCCACUGUAAAGAUGAGGAAACAAAGAUGCAGAUUCUUAUUGUCUUCUCAAGUACAUAGUGAGGAGCAGAACCUUUUCUUCUGGAAAACCAGAUUUAAAGAAAUAAGUACAUAGGCAACUCAAGGGUAUGGUCUGCUGAUACACUAAAGGUUUUUUUUUGUUGUUGUUGUUUUGUUUUGUUUUUCUGUUUUAAUGACUCUGGAGAUGAAAGGUUGUAAAUCAAGGGAAUCCCAAGGUAAGAAAAUAAAACACGUUCUCAUUGGUUUGCCAGUGAAAUGAAUGAUAAGUGCAAACUUAAACCUACAAGAUCGAGGAGGUGAAGUUUAAAUAGUAAGUUCUAUAAGAGCCAACCUAUAAAAACAGAUCUGUAGUGUUCCUUCUGACUAUACAGGGGUGUGAUGGUUAAUUUUAUGCAUUAACUUAACUGGAUCACAGGAUGCCCAGAUGUUUAGCUAAACAUUAUUUUGGGUGUGUCUGUGAGGCUGUUUCCAGAGAGAUUAGCAUUUGAAUUGAUAGACUGAGUCAAGAUUGCCCUGACCAAUGCAGUUGGGUAUCAUCCAAUCCUUUGAGGCCCGGACCAGAAGCCAAGAAGAAGGAAGGGAGAAUUUGUCCCCUCUGCCUGAUUGCUUGAGCUGAACAUUGAUCUCCUCCUCCUCUUGGCACUUCUGGUUCUCAGGCCUCAGACACAGACUGGAAUCUACACCAUCUGUGGACCUUUCCUGGGCCUCCAGCUUGCAGACAGCAGGUCUGCAAAAUCAGAUCAGCAGAUCUGUGGAACCACACAGCCUCUGCCAUCAUGUGAGCCAGUUCCUUAUAAUAAAUCUAUUUACAUGAAUGUAUAUAUCUUAUUGGUUCUGUUUCCCUAGAGAACCCUAAUACAAAGGAUUCCCUCUCAGAUAUGUAUAGAAAUUUAUUUUUAUGAGUUUCUAGCCAGGCAUUCAUGUGAUACCAAUUCUUGGCCAGUACUAAACUUUGACUCUUAAUGAUUAAACCACACUCUUUAGGGAGACCACAAUGUGGGGACACAUUAACAGAAGCCAAACACCACACAAGCAAUGAAACAAGAAGGACACACGUCAUCUGCUAAAAAUGUGUGUGUGUGUGUGUGUGUGUGUGUGUGUGUGUGUGUGUGUGUGUAACAUCAGGGAUCAACAAUGCAUGAGUUUGGGAAGACCAGAUGAUGAGACCCAGCUUACAAGGUAUUUUGUAUUUCUAAUUGUUAUAAAACCCGCCAGAUUCAAAGUAAGUGAGAAAUACAGAUAUAGAAAUGGCACUCAUAAAUGAAUUCAACUCCAAAGUGAAUAAAACUUAAGACUAUUUUAAAAUAAAAGUGCAAUUUUAUUUAAAUAAAAUAAAUGCUUUGAGUUAUUUUAAAAUAAAUAUUAGAAGAGCGAACCCAAAUGUUAACUAUGGACUUGGGUGAUAAUGAUGUGCACUGUAGGUUCAUAAAUAAUUGUAAGAUAUUUACCACUCUGGCACAGGAGGCGGAUGGUGGGGUAGUCUGGGUGUGUGUAGGGGGAAGGGAGUGGGAGGACAGAGGGCAUAUAGGAACUCUGUACUUUCUGCCCAGUUUAGCCCUGAACCUAAAACUGUCCUAAAAAUAGAGUGCUUUUUUAAAAAAAAGAAAAAUUAUUUUUUUAAAAGCACAUUUUCUGGAGUUGUGAUCUUCAGGAUUACUGCUAGCAAUUGCAUUUUACAAACAUGCAGAGGCCAGUGGCUUCCAAUCUCUGAGUAUAAUAUGUUGGUCUGGAGGAUAGACUCUGUUUACCUUUUGGAUCCAGACUUUGGUUCUGAAUGAACAUAUUUUAUAGAACAUGCAAAGGGCAGCCGAGCUCGAGGAAGCCUGCAGAGUUCUGCAGUGUGAAGGCACACUGAGCAGAGAUGGCAUUUCCAGUUUUCACAGAAGAUGCCACAGCUCUUGCAUAUACUGUAUCUCCUUCCAACUUAAGUUCCCAAAAGGUAAAAUCACCCUAAACAACCACUUUUAAAAGUCUAAAUCACUUUCCUAAAAACCAGAGGAAAUAAAAAUCACAGUUAAUAUAAAACCAACUACUAAUACUUCCUCUUCUACUACAUGACUGUGUGCAUAAAUAAAACUCUGCAGACAAUUCAAGGGAGCUUUAGAAAAUCCCAGGUAUCUACAGAGGUUAUUGUUCUCUUUGAUUUACCAAUAGGGAGAAUUUAAUUGGUGCAUUUAUUGUGUUUAUCACUGUAGUAACAUGAAUGAAAAUUUUCAGGUCUCUGUCUGGCUUAGAAGGAUCACUGCAAUGCGAUGCCACUGUCUUCCUUCAGGAUGCACCCAUGUGCUGAGGGAUGUGUGCAUUCACCCACUUAGGAGGCUAUAAUCAAAGCUGGCGGUCAGAGCUGGUGUUGGACCUUCCUACUGCCAAGUAUGAGUUGAUUAAUAGCGUGAAUUUUUACUCCGCCUUGUGGUCUUCUGAUUUUUCCCCACAUAUCAGAACCUUGAAUUUACAGUACGAUUAGUAGACUUUGAACAAAUAUUUUAACUGAAUGACUAAUUGAAUAAAUGAUUUAAUUAACACAAGGUGAGUUCAGGGACCAAAUAAUUUGGAUGAUUUACAAGGUUCAUGAAAGAACAGCAGAUAAGGCUGGACUGUGGAUUGGAGAUAGAGUGUAGGAUAUCCUGAAUGCCAGCUGAGGAGGUGGGAGGAGAGGAGCCUCCAGAGGUUUCUGAGUGGGGCGGGAGCACAAUCAAAGCAUGCUUAGUAUGACUGUGAUUAGAAGUCAUGAGUCAAAGUAAAUAUCUGAGAGACAUACCUAAAAAACAAUUUUCUCUUCUUAUUUUUCAUGUUGUUAAUGAAUUAUUUUUAAGUGGGUUUUAAGUUAACCUGAAAAGGUCUUGAAAUUUCAAUAAAAUUAAAACAUUCCAUUUCCCAGAGCUCAUGCAAAAGAAUAUUUCAUAAGUGAUGUAUUUCCAAGGAAAAGAACAUUGACAUACUCUGACUACAUGCUACCUAAAAUAAUAGAGGUUAUUGGUUAAAUAUAUUAAUAACGAGAAUCAUACUAAUAGUUAAUAAGCUUAUGUGUAGUUCUCCGACUUUUUUGAAAUAAUUUAAACAUGUGUUAAGACCUAACAUUUUUACUUAUUCUUUAAAGCUACAUACAGCUUUUUAAAAAUAGCUUUAUUAAAGAGAUAAUUAACAUAUCACAAAACUCAGCCAUUUAAGUGUACAAUUCAAUGGUUUUAGUAAAUUUGCAGAGUUGUACAACCAUCAACACAGUCUAAUUUUAGAAUAUUUUCAUCAACAAAAAGAAACCCCAUAUGCAUUAGCAGUCAAUUCUCACUCCACGCCCAUCCAUCCCCAGCCCUAGGUAACUUAAUCUUUCUGUGUCUAUAGAUUUUCUUAUGCUGGACAUUUCAUUAAAAUGGUAUCAUACAAUAUGUGGUCUUUUAUGACUAGUUUGUUUCACUUAGCAUAAUGUUUUCAAGAUUCAUCCAUGUUAUAGCAUGUUUGAGUAAGUAUUUCUUUUUAUACUGAAUAAUAUUCCAUUAUAUGAAUAUGCUAUUUUUUAAUCCAUACAUUCAUUUAUGGACAUUUGGGUUGUUUUUAUUUUGGGCUAUUAUGAAUAAUUCUCCUAGGAACUUCCAUGCACAAGAUUUUAUGUAGGCAUAUUUUUUCUUUCUAUUGGAUAUGUAUCUAGAAGCAGAAUUGCUUGGUCAUCUGGUAACUCCAUGUUUUACAUUUUUAGGAGCUGCCAAACGGUUUUCCAAAAUAGCUACACUAUUUUACAUUCCUAUCAACAUUAUUUGAGAGUCGCAGUUUACCACAUCCUUGCCAAUGUUUGUUACUAUUUUUAAUUAAAGCUAUCCUAGUGGGUGCAGGUGGUAUCACAUUGUGGAUCACAUUGUGGUUUUGAUUUGCAUUUCCCUAAUGGCUAAUCAAUGUGAACAUCUUUUUAUGUGCUUAUUAUUCAUUGUAUAUCUUCUGUGGAUAAAUAUCUAUUCAAAUCCCUUGUCCAUUUUUAAUUUGGUUAUUCAUCUUUUCAUUAUGAGUAUGAGGGUUCUUUAUAAAUUCUGGCUACAAAUCCCUUCUCAUAUAUUUGAUUUGAAAGUGUUUUCUUCCAUUCAGUGAGUUUUUCUUUUACUUCCUUUGAUAAUGUCCUUUAAUGCAUAAAAAGUUUCCAGUUUUCAUAAAGUUCAAUUUAUCAAUUUUUUCUUUUGUCACUUAUGCUUUUUGUGUUAUAUCUAUAAAAAUCACUGCCUAACCCAAAGUCACAAACACUCUUAGGUUUUAUUCUAAAAAUUUAUCAUUGUAGCUCUUAUUUUUAGGUCUAUAAUCCAUUUUGAGUUAAAUUUUGCAGAUAGUGUGAGGUACAGGUCCAACUUCAUUCUUUUGCAUUCAGUUAUCCCAGAACCAUUUGUUGGAAGUACUAUUCUUUCUCUACAAAACUGUGUUGGUACCUCUGCCAAGGAUCAAUUCUUCAUAAAUAUAUGGGUUUAUUUCUGGGCUGUCAAUUCUAUUCUGUUGAUCUAUAUACCUAUCCUUGUGCCAGUACCACACUGUUUUGAUUAAUGUAGCUUUUAUAAUGAGUUUUGAAAUCAGGAAAUAUGAGUGUCCAAGUUUGUUCCUCUUUUUCAAGAUUGUUUACCUAUUCUGGGUCUAUUGCAUUUCCGUAUAAAUUUUAAGAUCGGCUUGUGAAUUUCAGCAAAAAUUCCAGAUAAAAAAAUUUUUAUAGGGAUUGCAAUGAAUCUGUAGAUCAGUUUGGAGAAUACUCCCAUCUUGUCAUCUUAACAAUAUUAAUUCCUCCA
RNAcentral lists this long non-coding RNA (5332 nucleotides) under Homo sapiens (human). RNAcentral describes it as "HSALNT0366908". The record is from RNAcentral. Lineage: Eukaryota; Metazoa; Chordata; Mammalia; Primates; Hominidae.